GGAGUCCCCGCCCUAACUUGGCCAGUAGGUGGUGCAGGUGAGCCAGCUCCCAGACCAGGGCUGGGAAUGGGCAAGCCCUGGUGAGUGUAGGGUGGAGCAGCUUUGCCAGGGGUGAUUGCCUAGACCUGCUUUGUGAAGAGGCGGGAUGUCCUUCUGGUGCGUGUACAGGAAAGAGGGGGAAAUGGCUGGAGACGCAAACUUGCUGGGGCACUUGCUGCAGGAGUGUGCCAGGUGUUGGUGUCCUGGUACUUCUGCCCGCAAAAAUGCUCUUGGCACAUCAGGCUCCAGUGGCCAGGCAGCCUGUCCUGAGACGUGGAGGAGGAGGCAUGCCCGCCUCCCAGAUGAGCCCAGCACUGCCUGAGGACAAAUCUCCCCUCGCUCUUAGUCAGCCCCUGCUCCCACACUCCUCGCAGAUAUUGCUACAUAUCCCUUCCUUCCCCUCCCCACCCUCUUGCUGUCAGCGAACACUGAGGCCCACCAGCAGGACCUCUCUCAGCUUCCUGCGACCUCACAAAUGUUCCUGCGACCACAUGCCCAGAGCUUUCUUCACAUCAGCCUCAGCAGUUGGAACUGGAUUCUGAAAUCCAGGUUUGCAGAGUAAACCAAGCUUUCCUUGGCAGAGAAAACCCAACUCCACAAAAACCACUGGAAGGGAGGGAACAUGGAGGCAGUAUUGUUACUAGCUCAGUGCUUGUACUUUGAAGCUGGACAGAACUGGGACCAGAUCUCAGUUUCCAGACCUGCAAAGUGCGCUAUACACAUACACAACUUAAAAGGCUAGAGUGAAGAUUGAACGGGAUAAUGCAGAAGAAAUGACUAAUGUUAACCAACAUUACUCAACAGAUACUAACUAAAAUUUGCAAGCAAUUAGCUGCAAGUCUCGUGGUUCUGAUCUCAGAAAUGGCUCCUGACUCUGUCCCUUCCUUCCUUCCCCAUGCUAUGGCCUGAGUGAAUGUUGCCAUCGUUUCUUACCCAAGUUCUUCAUUAGUCACAUCAGGCUCUUUAUUUCUCGUACGGCUGAGAGUCUUUUAUUUCAUAACAUGAAAUUAUAUGUAAUAAUACGUAAUUGCUGAUUUCAACUAACACACUUUAUCUCUUAAUAUUAUGGUAUUUUCUUAUAAGAUCCAGUGGCUUCAGAAAGGUGACAACCAAGAAGUGCCAAUUAGGAGCCCAAGGUGGCCCAGCUGGUAAGGACACGGAGCAGGGCCUGCAAACUCAAGCCUGCCUAACUUCAAAGUCAGUGCACUUCCCUGUAGUCUAAUGUCCAGAGAUACAGGGACCCUGUGCCCUUCUUUUGUGGAAACUCUGAUGGGAUUCAGAAAAUACGGAUCACCCACAAGGCAACCUGGGCAGCUAAGACUGAUGCUUGCUCACUCAGGAAACCUCAAACCUUCCUGUUGGAAAGGGCCAGCGGCUAUGGAUAAGGUGCAGUACUGCUGCUCACCAGCAGGGGUCGCGAGAGCCUGCCUGUGCUCACCACAUGUGCGAUGCAGGUGGCACAGGGCACUCUUGAGCCAGGGACUCUCAGGUAGGUUGAGAUCACAAAGCACAACAGUGACGUCCUCCCAUCUACACUGGGAGAGGCAAGAAAAGGUUCAUUCUGAGAGAUUUCUAAAAGACUAUGGCCCUGUCAACACCCUGAUUUUUUUUACUUCUUGUUUCCAGAACUGUGAGAAAAUAAAUG
Myotis myotis is the source of this 1684-nucleotide long non-coding RNA. RefSeq lists it as uncharacterized. The record is from RefSeq and is a predicted model, not a curated record. Lineage: Eukaryota; Metazoa; Chordata; Mammalia; Chiroptera; Vespertilionidae. The transcript is spliced from 3 exons.